RNAcentral lists this ribosomal RNA (309 nucleotides) under uncultured bacterium. Its description in RNAcentral is "partial 16S ribosomal RNA". It matches the Rfam family "Bacterial small subunit ribosomal RNA", at positions 504 to 808 of the family's 1533-position model. The record is from RNAcentral.
AGAGACAGCAGCCGCCGCGGUAAUACGAAGGGGGCUAGCGUUGUUCGGAAUUACUGGGCGUAAAGCGCACGUAGGCGGAUAUUUAAGUCAGGGGUGAAAUCCCAGAGCUCAACUCUGGAACUGCCUUUGAUACUGGGUAUCUUGAGUAUGGAAGAGGUGAGUGGAAUUCCGAGUGUAGAGGUGAAAUUCGUAGAUAUUCGGAGGAACACCAGUGGCGAAGGCGGCUCACUGGUCCAUUACUGACGCUGAGGUGCGAAAGCGUGGGGAGCAAACAGGAUUAGAUACCCGUGUGUCCCUGUCUCUUAUACC